GUGUGAUUUAACCUUAACAAGCUACAUCACCUCUUCUUCUGACAGAUGGGGCUGCAGAACUUGACUCUUGCUGGAAGCCUCAAGUUCAUCAGAAACAGUCGUGGCCCAUGUCUUUGAGGUUUGCUUCUAAGGUUAAGGUUCCAUAGCAAGUGGAGAAACCUUCAAUUGCCUUAGUGGAGUAAGAAGGACUAAGCAAAUCUCUAGUACAGAACCUUGCUGGGCUGAGAAGGAACCUCUCCUGCAGCCAAAGAGGGAGUAAGCAGAGGUCCCAGACCUCAGACCUGCCCUCUCACACCAGACCUUCUCUUCUGAGAAAAAGAGGAACCACCUAUUGCAAAUGGGCAGCAAAGGUAGCUGAGCAGUUACAGAGGCAGCGGUGCACAACCAAGCAGUGAGAGUGGCCAUGCCAUGGUGCGUCCCCCAAACGACACUCAGCACCUCAGCAUCCCACCUCCAGAACACUGAAAUGUGGCUGUGAGCAUCUGUGCUUUAUCUUAAUUUUGUGCCUCCAUUAGCAAGAGGUGUCCUAAGGUAACCGCCUCUUCACUCUAUAUCAUUUUAGCUUGCAAAGGUUUCAUGGAGAUAAUCUACUUUAGGAUAGCAAGUGAAACCUGAAUUCAGCUUUAAUGCAAAUUCCAAAAAGGUUAAUUAUCUUCUCCAAGGUCAAUAUUUGAAUUUGGGUUUGUCUGACAUGAAAUCCCAGGCUGUGUCCACACCAAAUAAGCCCUGGCUGAUGUCAUGAGCUUGAAUUUCUUAUCUGC
RNAcentral lists this long non-coding RNA (761 nucleotides) under Bos indicus x Bos taurus (hybrid cattle). RNAcentral's name for it is "lncRNA (ENSBIXG00000016007.1)". The record is from RNAcentral. Lineage: Eukaryota; Metazoa; Chordata; Mammalia; Artiodactyla; Bovidae.